This 253-nucleotide ribosomal RNA is filed under the name uncultured bacterium. RNAcentral describes it as "partial 16S ribosomal RNA". It matches the Rfam family "Bacterial small subunit ribosomal RNA", at positions 524 to 776 of the family's 1533-position model. The record is from RNAcentral.
UACGUAGGGCGCAAGCGUUAUCCGGAAUUAUUGGGCGUAAAGAGCUCGUAGGCGGUUUGUCGCGUCUGCCGUGAAAGUCCGGGGCUCAACUCCGGCUCUGCGGUGGGUACGGGCAGACUAGAGUGAUGUAGGGGAGACUGGAAUUCCUGGUGUAGCGGUGAAAUGCGCAGAUAUCAGGAGGAACACCGAUGGCGAAGGCAGGUCUCUGGGCAUUAACUGACGCUGAGGAGCGAAAGCAUGGGGAGCGAACAGG